AGAGGGUGCGAGCGUUAAUCGGAAUUACUGGGCGUAAAGCGCACGUAGGUGGCUUGACAAGUCGGUUGUGAAAGCCCCGGGCUCAACCUGGGAACUGCAUCCGAGACUGUCUUGCUAGAGUAUGGGAGAGGGAAGUGGAAUUUCCGGUGUAGCGGUGAAAUGCGUAGAUAUCGGAAGGAACAUCAGUGGCGAAGGCGACUUCCUGGACCAAUACUGACACUCAAGUGCGAAAGCGUGGGGAGCAAACAGGAUUAGAUACCCUGGUAGUCCACGCCAUAAACGAUGUGAACUGGAUGUCGGGAGGGUCUGCCUCUCGGUGUCGUAGCUAACGCGUUAAGUUCUCCGCCUGGGGAGUACGGCCGCAAGGUUG
RNAcentral lists this ribosomal RNA (370 nucleotides) under uncultured bacterium. RNAcentral's name for it is "bacterial SSU rRNA". It matches the Rfam family "Bacterial small subunit ribosomal RNA", at positions 527 to 896 of the family's 1533-position model. The record is from RNAcentral.